CCUACGGGAGGCAGCAGUGGAGAAUUUUGGACAAUGGGGGCAACCCUGAUCCAGCCAUGCCGCGUGAGUGAUGAAGGCCCUAGGGUUGUAAAGCUCUUUUGUGCGGGAAGAUAAUGACGGUACCGCAAGAAUAAGCCCCGGCUAACUUCGUGCCAGCAGCCGCGGUAAU
This 169-nucleotide ribosomal RNA is filed under the name uncultured bacterium. RNAcentral describes it as "partial 16S ribosomal RNA". It matches the Rfam family "Bacterial small subunit ribosomal RNA", at positions 338 to 524 of the family's 1533-position model. The record is from RNAcentral.